CCAUUCGUCGAAGCCCUGCCAAGUGGGUUUGCAGUCCAAUAGGCUAUUUCCUCUCUGCCUGUUUCUACUUUCUCUUUUCGUAAAAACAAAGGGAUGGAAGGGAGUUCUGUUUUCUCUUUUUCCCACUAGGGUUUCCUUUCUCCUUUGGGAAAGAAAAAUGUUUUCAUCUUAAAGUCUUGCAUGUGGAGAUGAGGUUAUGUAAUGCAGCCAAGGAUGACUUGCCGGCAACUCUUAGAUAUCAUAAUAUACAUGUAUAUAUACAUGCUCAUGAUUAGGGUUGAUCGGCAAGUCAUCUCUGGCUAUAUAACUGCCUCCUUUUCUCAUGCUAGAUUUAUGAUGAUAAUCUCAGUGGUUAUGAUGGUGGUGAUGGAUCCAUGUGGCUCAUCAAUAGCUCUUCUGCGUGUGUUGUCAGGUUCAGGUUGCAGCUAGCUUCUCACCAUAUCUCAGCUUCAGGCUGCCUGAAAGAACAAUAUAUAUAUAUAUUUUAUAUAUAUAUAUAUAUAUAUAUAUAUAUUCACACUAUAUAUUUAAGUUAAUUCUGCAUUAAAAUAUCCUUCAAAAUAUGGGAAUUGGAAGAUUUUGACAAACUAUGCUUUAAUUGCAAAUGAGAUUAGCCUUGAUGGAUCUUUAUUUUUUUAACAGAUAUUUCAGAUUUUGACAAACUAUGCUUUAAUUGCAAAUGAGAUUAGCCUUGAUGGAUCUUUAUUUUUUUAACAGAUAUUUCCACCAUCUUCCAGAUCGAGCCUGACUUUCCAUGUGAUCUUUCUUUGCUUAAAAAUCUCAAUGCCUUUUUCUCAAUUUAAUUUCACAGGAAUGUCCAUAUUAAAUGCGGAUAUAUUUUUCUCAAUUGUCGUCAGCAUACGUGUUACUGUGUACACGUGUAGCUGUGUCAUGUGGUACUGUAAUUCUUUCUAGAUUUAAUACGGAUAUUUUGCAUGGAAAACAUGGCGAAUUGCUUGCUAAUAUAGCCUGCUGAGGAAAUAAUCGAUUUUUUUUUUUUUUAAGGGGUUAUUUAAUCUUACGAAUCGAAAAUUAUUAGUUGGAAUUUUUUUUAAAAAAAAUUUGUGUGCACAUGUUAAAAAAAAGAAAGAAAUAAUUGAAUUUUAAGUAUUAUUUGCUAGCAAAUUUUUAAUAAAUGGCAUUUUUAAGCUGUUUAAUACAAAAAAAUAAUAAUUUGAAUUAAAGUCAUUUUAAAUUCUAUUAUAUAUAUGAAAUUUACAAUGAAAAACAGUAAGGGUUUUUUUUUAAUUUUUUUUUUUAUAAGUUUUAUGUAGAUAUCAUUAUUAUUUUUUUUAGUAAAUUAACCCAUAUUUUUCUUAAUUUUUAAAAAAUAAUAUAUAUCUUAGCAUUUCUCAUUUACAAAGGAUCUUAAUACGCAGCAUUCGCAAUAGAUAAGUUCAAAUUUGAUAUUCGCGUAAUAGUGACUGCUAUAUUUAUAUAUAUAUAUAUAUAGCCUGAAGCCCUAUAAUAACUCAGACCUAGCAAUAAUUCAGUACAAGAUAGUUAAUUCUACUCUCAGCAAUUACUGAAUUUGUAAAUAUACGUUAGGAAGACUCACAUCACAUGUCAUGUUUAAGGGGCUUCCAAAGAAGUCUUCAUUAUAUAUUAUAUAAUCAACAAGAUUCAACUGUUCAGAUAUUUUUUAUGUUUAUCUAACGUAUUAUUUAUCAUCCAUCCAUGCAUCUUUAUCUUUGCCCUAAUGCGGAAAGAAGCUGCCAUAUCGGUACUGGUGCAUGUUCAUCGUCUCCGCCAAUUGUGAAAGGGACCACUAUUAUCCAAUACUGUCGAGGAUAUCCUAUCUCGACAAAAUCCCAUACAAUUGAAUUCAAAUGCAGAUCAGUCACAAGAUUCAGAUAAAGCUUCACCCAAUAGAUCUAUAUGAGGAUAACAUUAUCCAUAUUCAUAUUUGUAGAUAUUUCAAACCUUGUAGCACAUGGGUCAUGUCUUUAUAAACCUUACUUCACAUGAUACAGCCAGUACCAAUUUCCAGCAUUUUUAAGGGUGGUUUUUUUUUUUUUUUAAUUUUUUUUUAUUUACCUGUUUUUAGUGGACUGGUUUUAUUUAAAAAAUUAUAUCUUGUGAUUCCAACAUCAUAUGGAGACAAAUUUAGAGUCGAAAUGCUUAUUCAGAGAGCUAUAAUUUUGUAAUUCUAAUGUUUACUUGGUGAAGAUUGUCUAUCUGUAUUCUGUUUACAACAUGGUAUUUUAUUUUAUAUUUUUU
Molecule: non-coding RNA, 2220 nt
Organism: Corylus avellana
Lineage: Eukaryota; Viridiplantae; Streptophyta; Magnoliopsida; Fagales; Betulaceae
Source: RefSeq, a predicted model, not a curated record